GGGUGUGGUUCCAUGGCAUGAAAAAGAGGAGGAGAGUCCUCUCUCUUUAGGUUAGCACAAAGGCUGUUUUUUAGGGUUUCUUCCUUUGGGUUUGGGAGAGAGAAAAAGAAAAGAAAAAAAUUAUUUUCUUCUCCAUCUUUCUUCCACCUCUUCAUCUCCUCCAGAAAUCUAUCUUCAACUUUUGAAAAGUUUCAGAGAUUUGAAGAAGGGAUCCAGAUCAACCAAGAAGAAGGUCUUCGUACAAGCUAGCACUCUCGAGAAGAUC
RNAcentral lists this long non-coding RNA (265 nucleotides) under Elaeis guineensis (African oil palm). RNAcentral's name for it is "long non-coding RNA (EGUI_LNC003046)". Lineage: Eukaryota; Viridiplantae; Streptophyta; Magnoliopsida; Arecales; Arecaceae. The record is from RNAcentral.